GGCGCGUUCGUCUAGUGGUUAGGACGCCGGCCUCUCAAGCCGGUAACACGGGUUCAAAUCCCGUACGCGCUACCA
RNAcentral lists this transfer RNA (75 nucleotides) under Acidobacteriota bacterium. Its description in RNAcentral is "tRNA-Glu". It matches the Rfam family "tRNA". From Rfam's summary of the family: Transfer RNA (tRNA) molecules are approximately 80 nucleotides in length. Their secondary structure includes four short double-helical elements and three loops (D, anti-codon, and T loops). The record is from RNAcentral. Lineage: Bacteria; Pseudomonadati; Acidobacteriota.